CCCUUAGAUGUUCUGGGCCGCACGCGUGCUACACUGAGUGGAUCAGCGGGUCAGGUUGCGCGAAAGCGUUUCCUAAUCUUUAAAUCCGCUCGUGAUGGGGAUUGACGGUUGCAAUUUUCUGUCAUGAACGAGGAAUACCUUGUAAGCGCGGGUCAUCAUCCCGCGCUGAAUACGUCCCUGCCCUUUGUACACACCGCCCGUCGCACCUACCGAUUGAAUGGUCCGGUGAAGUCUUCGGACUGCAGUCACCUCGAGUGAUCGCGGAAAGUUGAGUAAACCUUACCAUUUAGAGGAAGGUGAAGUCGUAACA
RNAcentral lists this ribosomal RNA (310 nucleotides) under uncultured eukaryote. RNAcentral's name for it is "partial 18S ribosomal RNA". It matches the Rfam family "Eukaryotic small subunit ribosomal RNA", at positions 1470 to 1796 of the family's 1831-position model. The record is from RNAcentral.